UGGAUGAGCAGCGAACGGGUGAGUAACGCGUGGGGAAUCUGCCUUUGAGCGGGGGACAACAUUUGGAAACGAAUGCUAAUACCGCAUAAAAACUUUAAACACAAGUUUUAAGUUUGAAAGAUGCAAUUGCAUCACUCAAAGAUGAUCCCGCGUUGUAUUAGCUAGUUGGUGAGGUAAAGGCUCACCAAGGCGAUGAUACAUAGCCGACCUGAGAGGGUGAUCGGCCACAUUGGGACUGA
This 239-nucleotide ribosomal RNA is filed under the name Lactococcus lactis. RNAcentral's name for it is "partial 16S ribosomal RNA". It matches the Rfam family "Bacterial small subunit ribosomal RNA", at positions 88 to 322 of the family's 1533-position model. Lineage: Bacteria; Bacillati; Bacillota; Bacilli; Lactobacillales; Streptococcaceae. The record is from RNAcentral.